CAGCAGCCACGGUAAUACGAAGGGUGCGAGCGUUAAUCGGAAUUACUGGGCGUAAAGCGUGCGUAGGCGGUGAGUUAAGUCUGCUGUGAAAUCCCCGGGCUCAACCUGGGAAUGGCAGUGGAUACUGGCUCGCUAGAGUGUGUCAGAGGAUGGUGGAAUUCCCGGUGUAGCGGUGAAAUGCGCAGAGAUCGGGAGGAACAUCAGUGGCGAAGGCGGCCAUCUGGGACAACACUGACGCUGAGGCACGAAAGCGUGUGGAGCAAACAGGAUUAGAUACCCCAGUAGUCCCUGUCUCUUAUAA
Molecule: ribosomal RNA, 301 nt
Filed under: uncultured bacterium
Lineage: Bacteria
Description: partial 16S ribosomal RNA
Rfam family: Bacterial small subunit ribosomal RNA
Source: RNAcentral